GGACGGAACACUGCGACAUCAACAACGAGUCUGCCACCUUGGUAGCCAACAGCCGAAACAUUUAGACUGUUUCUUCAGCAGACGGCGAUGUGCGUCUUUCAGGUGAUGCUGCCAGCGUGACGUAUAAUCUAGUGGACGGAACACUGCAACAUCAACAACAAUGAGUCUGUAACCUUGGUAGCCAACAGCCGAAACAUUUAGACUGCAUCUGUGCAUAUUUUCCUCUUUGUUUUAAAUAUAGUUCUGACAUCUAGUUAAUUGUCCCCAUUUAAAUGUUAUACGUACAUUGUUAGUCAACUAGCUGGUUUUAUAAGUUAGCCUAGCGCUAAACGAGUCGCUCAUGCUAACAACUAGCUAGCUAACAUCUCCGACCAUGAGCUCACUAAGCUACUCUCCUGCUAAAGAAGAGGGGGACUGCUGGACGGAGAAAGAAGCUCUGGGCUGAACGUUGUUGUGAAAGAGGAGAAUGAAGAGGGGGAUGUUACAGUAAAACAAGAAGGAGAGGGUGAGGCUGUUACAGUGAAAGAAGAAGAGGAAGGGAAAGAGGAGGAUGCCGUUUUUUAAGUGAAUGAGGUGAAAGAGGGAGAGGGAACUGGUUUUGACAGGAGUCAGGAGAUCUGUUUACCACCGGAGAGAGACCAGACUCUGACAGAGGGAAGAGUUCCUCAGAGGAAACAGACCUGGAGACGCCUAACCAACACCACUGCUCCCACUGUGGAAAGAGUUUUAGGUGGUUAGGAAGCCUGAAAAUG
Long non-coding RNA from Oncorhynchus masou masou (cherry salmon), 752 nucleotides. RefSeq lists it as uncharacterized. The transcript is spliced from 3 exons. NCBI's taxonomy places the organism in Eukaryota, Metazoa, Chordata, Actinopteri, Salmoniformes, Salmonidae. The record is from RefSeq and is a predicted model, not a curated record.